AGCUUAACUCAGGGAAUGAAGCCCUAAUAUUGGCAAAAGGCGACUAGGGAAUGGAGGCCUAUGUCUUAAAGGCUCAACUCAGGGAUUGGAGCCCUAAUGUUGGCAAAAAGGCGACUAGGGAAUGGAGGCCCUAUGUCUAAAAAGCUCAACUCAGGGUUUGGAACCCUAAUGUUGGCAAAAGGCGACUAGGGAAUGGAGGCCCUAUGUCUAAAAAGCUCAACUCAGGGAUCAGAGCCCUAAUAUUGGCAAAAGGCGACUAGUGAAUGGAGGCCCUAUGUCUAAAAAGCUCAACUUAGGGAUUGGAGACCUAAUGUUGGCAAAAGGCGACUAGGGAAAGGAGGCCCUAUGUCUCAAAGGCUCAAUCAGAGAUUAAAGCCUUAAUGUUGUCAAAAAGGCGACUAGGGAAUGGAGGCACUAUGUCUAAAAAGCUCAACUCAGGGAUUGGAGCCCUAAUGUUGGCAAAAACGCAACUAGGGAAUAGAGGCCCUAUGUCUAAAAAGCUCAACUCAGGAAUUGGAGCCCUAAUGUUGGCAAAAAGGCGACUAGGGAAUGGACGCCCUAUGUCUAAAAAGCUCAACUUAGGAAUUGGAGCCCUAAUGUUGGCAAAAGGCGACUAGGGAAAGGAGACCCUAUGUCUAAAAGGCUCAACUCAGGGAUUGGAGCCCUAAUGUUGGCAAAAGGCGACUAGGGAAUGGAUGGCAUAUGUCUAAAAAGGCUCAACUUAGGGAUUAGAGCCCCAAAUGUUGGCAACUGGUGACUAAGGAAUGGAGGCCCUAUGUCUAAAAAGGUUUAAGUUAGGGAUUUGAGCCCUAAUGUUGGCAAAAGGCGACUACGGAAGGGAGGCCCUAUGUCUAAAAAGCU
RNAcentral lists this long non-coding RNA (861 nucleotides) under Nicotiana tabacum (common tobacco). RNAcentral's name for it is "long non-coding RNA (NTAB_LNC001493)". Lineage: Eukaryota; Viridiplantae; Streptophyta; Magnoliopsida; Solanales; Solanaceae. The record is from RNAcentral.